GAACGCUGGCGGCGUGCCUAAUACAUGCAAGUCGAGCGAACAGAUAAGGAGCUUUCUCCUUUGACGUUAGCGGCGGACGGGGGAGGAACACGUGGGUAACCUACCUAUAAGACUGGGGUAACUUCGGGAAACCGGAGCUAAUACCGGGUAAUAUUUCGAACCGCAUGGUUCGAUAGUGAAAGAUGGUUUUGCUUUCCCUUAUAGAUGGACCCGCGCCGUAUUAGCUAGUUGGUAAGGUAACGGCUUACCAAGGCGACGAUACGUAGCCGACCUGAGAGGGUGAUCGGCCACACUGGAACUGAGACACGGUCCAGACUCCUACGGGAGGCAGCAGUAGGGAAUCUUCCGCAAUGGGCGAAAGCCUGACGGAGCAACGCCGCGUGAGUGAUGAAGGUCUUCGGAUCGUAAAACUCUGUUAUUAGGGAAGAACAUACGUGUAAGUAACUGUGCACGUCUUGACGGUACCUAAUCAGAAAGCCACGGCUAACUACGUG
This 494-nucleotide ribosomal RNA is filed under the name uncultured bacterium. Its description in RNAcentral is "partial 16S ribosomal RNA". It matches the Rfam family "Bacterial small subunit ribosomal RNA", at positions 31 to 507 of the family's 1533-position model. The record is from RNAcentral.